CCUACGGGAGGCAGCAGUGAGGAAUAUUGGUCAAUGGACGCAAGUCUGAACCAGCCAUGCCGCGUGCAGGAAGACGGCUCUAUGAGUUGUAAACUGCUUUUGUACGAGGGUAAACGCAGAUACGCGUAUCUGUCUGAAAGUAUCGUAAGAAUAAGGAUCGGCUAACUCCGUGCCAGCAGCCGCGGUAAUACGGAGGAUUCAAGCGUUAUCCGGAUUUAGUGGGUUUAAAGGGUGCGUAGGCGGUCGGAUAAGUUAGAGGUGAAAUCCCGAGGCUCAACUUCGGAAUUGCCUCUGAUACUGUUCGGCUAGAGAGUAGUUGCGGUAGGCGGAAUGUAUGGUGUAGCGGUGAAAUGCUUAGAGAUCAUACAGAACACCGAUUGCGAAGGCAGCUUACCAAGCUACUUCUGACGUUGAGGCACGAAAGCGUGGGGAGCAAACAGGAUUAGAUACCCCAGUAGUC
This 460-nucleotide ribosomal RNA is filed under the name uncultured bacterium. RNAcentral describes it as "partial 16S ribosomal RNA". It matches the Rfam family "Bacterial small subunit ribosomal RNA", at positions 338 to 795 of the family's 1533-position model. The record is from RNAcentral.